AGAGUUUGAUCCUGGCUCAGGAUGAACGCUGGCGGCGUGCUUAACACAUGCAAGUCGAACGAAGCACUUUAUUUGAUUUCCUUCGGGACUGAUUAUUUUGUGACUGAGUGGCGGACGGGUGAGUAACGCGUGGGUAACCUGCCUUGUACAGGGGGAUAACAGUUGGAAACGGCUGCUAAUACCGCAUAAGCGCACAGCAUCGCAUGAUGCAGUGUGAAAAACUCCGGUGGUAUAAGAUGGACCCGCGUUGGAUUAGCUAGUUGGUGAGGUAACGGCCCACCAAGGCGACGAUCCAUAGCCGACCUGAGAGGGUGACCGGCCACAUUGGGACUGAGACACGGCCCAAACUCCUACGGGAGGCAGCAGUGGGGAAUAUUGCACAAUGGGCGAAAGCCUGAUGCAGCGACGCCGCGUGAGCGAAGAAGUAUUUCGGUAUGUAAAGCUCUAUCAGCAGGGAAGAUAAUGACAGUACCUGUAGAAUAAGCUCCGGCUAACUACGUGCCAGCAGCCGCGGUAAUACGUAGGGAGCAAGCGUUAUCCGGAUUUAUUGGGUGUAAAGGGUGCGUAGAUGGAUAGGCAAGUUGGUUGUGAAAUACCUCGGCUCAACUGAGGAACUGCAGCCAAAACUACAAAUCUUGAGUACUGGAGGGGAAAGCGGAAUUCCUAGUGUAGCGGUGAAAUGCGUAGAUAUUAGGAAGAACACCGGUGGCGAAGGCGGCUUUCUGGACAGAAACUGACAUUGAGGCACGAAAGUGUGGGGAGCAAACAGGAUUAGAUACCCUGGUAGUCCACACCGUAAACGAUGGAUACUAGGUGUAGGUGGUGAUAAGCCAUCUGUGCCGUCGCAAACGCAGUAAGUAUCCCACCUGGGGAGUACGGCCGCAAGGUUGAAACUCAAAGGAAUUGACGGGGGCCCGCACAAGCAGUGGAGUAUGUGGUUUAAUUCGAAGCAACGCGAAGAACCUUACCAGGGCUUGACAUAUACAGGAAUAUAUAAGAAAUUAUAUAGCUCUUCGGAGUCUGUAUGCAGGUGGUGCAUGGUUGUCGUCAGCUCGUGUCGUGAGAUGUUAGGUUAAGUCCUGCAACGAGCGCAACCCCUAUCUUCAGUAGCCAGCGGUUCGGCCGGGCACUCUGGAGAGACUGCCAGGGAUAACCUGGAGGAAGGUGGGGAUGACGUCAAAUCAUCAUGCCCCUUAUGGCUUGGGCUACACACGUGCUACAAUGGCGUAAACAAAGGGAAGCGAGCCUGCGAGGGGGAGCAAAUCCCAAAAAUAACGUCUCAGUUCGGAGUGUAGUCUGCAACUCGACUACAUGAAGCUGGAAUCGCUAGUAAUCGCGAAUCAGAAUGUCGCGGUGAAU
Molecule: ribosomal RNA, 1359 nt
Filed under: uncultured bacterium
Lineage: Bacteria
Description: bacterial SSU rRNA
Rfam family: Bacterial small subunit ribosomal RNA
Source: RNAcentral